Molecule: ribosomal RNA, 433 nt
Filed under: uncultured bacterium
Lineage: Bacteria
Description: partial 16S ribosomal RNA
Rfam family: Bacterial small subunit ribosomal RNA
Source: RNAcentral
AACGAACGCUGGCGGCAUGCCUAACACAUGCAAGUCGAACGAGACCUUCGGGUCUAGUGGCGCACGGGUGCGUAACGCGUUGGAACCUGCCCUUAGGUUCGGAAUAACUCCCCGAAAGGGGUGCUAAUACCGGAUAAUGUCUUCGGACCAAAGAUUUAUCGCCUUUGGAUGGGCCCGCGUUGGAUUAGCUAGUUGGUAGGGUAAAAGCCUACCAAGGCGACGAUCCAUAGCUGGUCUGAGAGGAUGAUCAGCCACACUGGGACUGAGACACGGCCCAGACUCCUACGGGAGGCAGCAGUGGGGAAUAUUGGACAAUGGGGGAAAGGCUGAUCCAGCAAUGCCGCGUGAGUGAUGAAGGCCUUAGGGUUGUAAAGCUCUUUUAACCGGGAUGAUAAUGACAGUACCGGGAGAAUAAGCUCCGGCUAACUCCGUG